CCCUCCUCCAGGUGCUCGGAGCCUCUGGGACUCUAUCUCUUUGUCUCUCUCUCUCUCUCCUCUCUGUCUCUCUUCAUGUCUGCCUCCCUCGUUUCCUCUGUGUGUCUCUUGCUGUGUCUCCGUCUCUGGGUCUCAGCUGUCCACCACCCACCCCCAGCAUGAGGCAGAGGCAAGAACCCCCAGGCCCUGUCCCUCGUUCAUCUUUAAUUCAUGGCUGAUACGCCACUCGGUCUCUUUGAGCAAAAUGAAAACCUAAAAGGUAUCCUUUUGCAACUUUUCACGUGUUUGGGGAUUGAGCCAUGCGUUCCUCGGAGCUCAUUCCACCCUAUGCCACCCACCGCUGUCUGGGGGCCACUCCACGCGGAUGAGCAGGUGGUUUGUGGUCCCUGCGCUGCCUCCUUGCGCACGCGAACGCGUGUGUGGUUGCGCCCUCCGGGCUCUUGUGUGUUACAGUCACUGGUCG
This 463-nucleotide long non-coding RNA is filed under the name Mustela putorius furo (domestic ferret). RNAcentral describes it as "lncRNA (ENSMPUG00000026209.1)". The record is from RNAcentral. Lineage: Eukaryota; Metazoa; Chordata; Mammalia; Carnivora; Mustelidae.